Molecule: long non-coding RNA, 6222 nt
Filed under: Nicotiana benthamiana
Lineage: Eukaryota; Viridiplantae; Streptophyta; Magnoliopsida; Solanales; Solanaceae
Description: long non-coding RNA (NBEN_LNC041974)
Source: RNAcentral
CCAAAACUUGGUGUCACAGUAUCACAGACUGUCUAAGAUUUACUACAUACAAGGUCUGAAGAAUAACAGUACAUUUUUCUUAAAUAAGGAAAAUGAAACAGGAAAUAGAGAUAGAGGGAGACGCCAGGGCCUGGAGACACCAGCAGGUCUACCUUGGUUCUCCGGGUGGACUAAAGGAAGCCCUCCAACUAAAACUGUUGUCUAGUACCUGAAUCUGUGCAAAAGAGAGAACAGAGUGUAGUAUCGUUACAACCGACCCUAUGUGCUGGUAAGUGUCUAGCCUAACAUCGGCGAAGUAGUGACGAAGCUAGGACCAGACUACAAACUAAACAUGUGCAGUUCAAAUAUAUAUAUAUAUAUAUAUAUAUAUAUAUAUAUAUAUAUAUAUAUAUAGACAUACACACACACACACACUGCUGUGGCAUGUAGCCCGACCCAUAGCAUAUCAUGCCCUUACAAAUGGGGAUUUGACUCCUCUCAGUCAAUAUAGUUUUGGCCUCACGGGCAAGCUAAGAUAAUACGGGGUUUCCAAUCCACCUAUUAUUAAAAUUAGGAUUUACCAAGAUAACAACUCUGAAUAAAAACUGUCAAAUAAGGAAAAAAAACAUAACUCGGACAUAAAUAAAGAACCAGAAAUCAAUAAGUGCACGGCAUCAACGUUCGUGCUUUUACUCUCAUCCUUACCAAGCAAUAAUAUAAUAAAAUUUGCACGGCAUCAUCCUUCGUGCUUUUACUCUCAUCCUCACCAAGCAAUGAUGUAACAAUAAUGUACACGGCAUCACCCUUCGUGCUUUUACUCUUAUCCUCAUCAAGAAAUGAAAUAACAAAAAGUGCACGUUAUCACCCUUCGUGCUUUUAAUCUCUUUCCUCACAUAAAAUCAAUAGAAUUGGCACGGAAUGGUACAUCGUACGGCACAACAUCAACCUUUGUGCUUUAACACUCGUUCCUCACAAUAACAAAUAAUACAAGGCAUAACCCUUUGUGCUUUAACACUCUUCCUUACCCAAACAACAAUCACAAACAAAAAGCAAGGGAGUAAACAAGUAAUAAUAGAAAUCCCGACAAGGGAACAAUACCAAUAAAACUCACCAUCCCAGCAAGGGAACAAUUUGAUAACUCUUUCUUUUUUCUUUCACUUUUACUUCACAACUCACUUCACCACUUGAGCCAAUGCUCCAAAGGGUUCAAUCAUCUCAUAUACUUUCACAAUUUGUAUUAUANNNNNNNNNNNNNNNNNNNNNNNNNNNNNNNNNNNNNNNNNNNNNNNNNNNNNNNNNNNNNNNNNNNNNNNNNNNNNNNNNNNNNNNNNNNNNNNNNNNNNNNNNNNNNNNNNNNNNNNNNNNNNNNNNNNNNNNNNNNNNNNNNNNNNNNNNNNNNNNNNNNNNNNNNNNNNNNNNNNCAAUCAUCUUAUAUACUUUCACAAUUUGUAUUAUAACUCAAGCUAAUGCUCUUCAAUGUUCAAAGGUCACCAUGUCUUUCCCAGACUUUUCACAACAUGUAGAAAUCAUCACCAAGGCACGAAAGAAACAAAGAAAUCAAGAUAUUCACAAUGUAAGACUCACGGUCAUGUUGGACAUCAACGUAUAGAUACUCGUCACCAUGCCUAUACUUCGUACUCAAAAAUAAUCACAUAUCAGAUAGGACUCAACUCCUAAUCCCUCAAGUUAAGGUUAGACAAAACACUUACCUCGAUGCCUUGAACACAACUCGCAUCUCAAUUAUAGCUUUUCCCCUUGGUUCCACUAUCAAUUCGUUCGUAUCUAAUCAUAAAUCACUUAUUUACAUCAACAAACUCUAAACGAAUCAACCCCAAUGUAUGAAAAUGCGUUUUCCAAAGUUUACCCAAAAAGUCAAAAAUUGUCCCCGGGCCCACGUGGUCAAAACUCGAGGUUCAACCAAAACCCGAUUACCCAUUCCCCCAUGAACUCAAAUAUAUAAUCUGUUUUGAAAGUAGACCUCAAAUUGAGGUCAAAAUCCCCAAUUUUUUGAAAACCUAGGUUCUACCGAAAACACUCAAUCUCCCCCAUGAAAAUCCUUGAUUUUAAGUUGAAAUCAUAAUAAAAGAUGCUAAUGAGUGAAUAAAACUAGCUAAAAAUGACUUGCAAUUAAUUUGGAGAAGAAAGGUUACUUGAAAAAUUGCCUCUUAUAUUUUAGAGUUUUGAAAAAUAAAAAAUAACUGAAAAUCACGUCUAUUUAUACACCUGGGAGACCCCCUGUGCGGACUGCACUAAAUGGACCGCGACCGCACAGGCUAUCUGAAGACCUGCAGUUCAACACCCUGUGUGGACCGCACAAAGGCGAUCGCGGUCGUACAGCCUAGAUUGUGGAUCGCAGAAAGGCGACCACGGCUGCACAACCUCCAUCACUGACCGCACAAAGGCAAUCGCAACCGCGCUGGCCCCUCCGCAGUCACACGAGAUUUCUCGCGGACCGCACAAGAGGGUUUAGAGGCCCGCAACUUCCUGAACCUGCAACUUCUGAUUUUGAAGUCUAAGGCAUCUCGGAACCUACCCGAAACUCAACUUCAAAAAUAUUCUACGAACAUAUUCGUGUAAUCAAAUCACUAAAAUAACACCACGAAAAUUGAAUUAGACCUCAAGAUCACUGAAAUUUCUAAAAACUCCUUUAAACAUAAAUUUCCCAAUUAAGGUCCGAAUCAUGUCAAACGACGCCCGCUUUGAACCAAAUUUUACAGAAAUGUCUUAGAACAUAUAUAAGACUCGUAUCGGGUACCGGAACCAAAAUAUGAGCCCGAUACCAUCACUUUCUAAUCGCAUUUCAUUUCCAAUUUUCUUAAACAAUUUCAGAAAAAUAAUUUCACUUAAAAAGGCAUUUCUCAGGAUUGGGACCUCGGAAUUCGAUUCGGGGAAUAUGACCACGUCCUAUAUUUUCCUACGGGCCCUACGGAACCGUCAAAUAACGGGUCUGUCUGCACAAAACGUUGAACAAAGUCAAAUUUAUUCAUUUUAACAUCAAAACUUAGUAUUUUUCACAGAAUUUCACAUUUAAGCUUUCUGGUUGUGAGCUCGGACUAUGCACGGAAAUUGAGGCAGCUCUAAAAGAGGUUUUUAAGGCCUCAGAAGCACAAAAUUUAUUAGAACUAAGUGAUGAUCUUUUGGGUCGUCAUAAUUAGUUUUCACUGACUUUUUAAAGCCUGUUAAAUCAGAACAACAUUAAGUAACAGAAAUAUUUUCAGAAUUGCAAGAUUUGAAAACUCCCUAUAGGCUUGCCCAUAUGCGUAACACUGAUAAAGACAUUUUGUAUAGCAAAGCAAGGCAGGUUUUUUUAAAAAGAAAAGACUCUUGAAUCCUUAUAGGCAUGCUGUCUAAUGAUAGAUUAAGGCAGUUUUUAAAGAAUUUAUUUUUGGGGAAACAACUAAGUAAACUAGCUUCGAAGUGAAUUAAUCAUGAACUGGAUUGAUUUAUUUAAACUAAACUGGUUUAAAUCCAUAGGUAGGAUUUCUAGUGUUGUUCCCUAUAGGCAUGAUAUCUAAUUAUUUAAAACUAGUUUUAGAAGCUUGUAGGCAUGAUGACAAAUGAAAACACAUGUAAACACUCAUUAUAACAGAAGUUAAACUGGACCAUAUAUUAUAGGCAUGGUUUCUAUUAUUGGAACAACUUGAAACCUAUUGGCAUGAUUUCUAACAUGACAAGGCAAACAUAGCAAAUAUAUAAAGUCCUGUAGGCAUGGUUUCUACUUGGUAAGGCAAACAUGGCAAAUCUAAAGUCUUAUAGGCAUGGCUUCUACACAUAUUACCCCACAAACAUGUAACUACCCACCCUUUUUCACUAGUUACCCCAAUAUUUCUUUACAAAUUAAUACAAAUCAUAUGAAUGAAUUACAUAAGUAGAUAAGAAAAAAUAAGAAGUAAUAGGGAGCCUACAAAUAGGCCAAGAUUUCCAAGCCUCCAACAGCCUCAAAUGCCUAAAUUCCAUAGACAAUAUCAUUGUCAAGGUGCAUCAAAGUUCCCUAAGGAUCUCAAGGACCCUGGACAGUGCUUUCACCUAGACUUGGUAACCAAAUUGAGUAAGUGCAGUACGGAAUAACCAACCUCAGUAUUCCAGAGUUCAGAUAGUUCUUAAGAGGAUCUCAAGGUAGUACACAUACUAGAGGAGGCAGAAUCUAGUGAAUUAGGAGUAGAGUGAGAGUGCUUGACACAAUUUGAAAGGUUUUGGUGGGAAAUUAGUGUUAAAGAGAUUUGCUUGAAAUAGUUUUGUAAAUAAGAGGUUUGUUUAGUAAAACAGCUUUUGAGAAUAGUCAAGUAACUCAACAAACAGCAUGUCAGUCAAGAAAGUUCAGCAAACACUCAGGGAACAAGUCUCUACACAGGGUCAAUUGGGGGUUGGGGACAAAUAGACAGGUAUGAUGAACACAUAACAGGCAGAAGUUCUUUGCCCUUAGUGAAGGUGGUGAGACAUAGAUUCAGGAGUGUUAAUUAGAACAUAGUUACAGAACUAGAGAUGCCUAGGGGAUUCAUGAGAGUGGGAGAUAGUAAGUUAUUGGAUUUUACACUAAACAUGGUUGAGCCUAAUAUUAAAACAACUUGGGCAAUAGCCCAACUAGAACUAGUAGACAGGCAUUAAUUAGAGUAGAGUCAAGUCACUAGUUCAUGAAAGCAUACUAAAGCAAAGAGAUUAAUUACAUGUUGAACAGCAAAAUCAUAGGUAAAAACAAAUCAAGAACAUGAUGAACUGAAGUAUUAAAAGAAACAUAUUAUUUUUGGGGUUGAAUUGAAACCAGAGCAUACUAGUGUAGAGACAAUAAACACAAGGUAAAGAAGAGGAGAGCACAAUAAUUAGCCUUGGCUUAUAGCCGGCUAAUUCAAAUGGUAGCCAGUAACAAAGAAAGAAAGCAUAAAGUUUUUAGGGUGAGAGAGAGAGUUUUGAAACAAUGUCUCGUGUCCUUGUGUUAAAUGAGAGCGUGUGUAUAUACAGUAGUUCGAAAUUAGGUAAAAUAAGGCAAGAAUCACAGUAGCAUAGUAAUUAUGGAACCAAAUACUAAUCAAAAUCAAAUCAAUGCAAGUACUCCUUAAUUAUGGGGUAAUCAACUAACGAUAAUUGGCAUAAAUGAUUAAGGAAAGAAAUCAAGUAGAGCAUCAAGUACAGAAUAGACAAUUAGGGGUAGGUACAUAGGGGUUCAAUUAAGGAAACAACUAAAUAAAAAUCGGUAAAAUAGUCGGUUAACCAAAUAAGGUAAGAAAACAAAAUAAAGUUGCAGAGUAUGGAAAUAAUAAAAGUCAGUGCGUAGUAGAUCAGUGAAUCAAGGACUCGAAAUCACUUAUUUAAGGAGAGUAACAUGGGUUAACAUGAAUUAAGCAAGUAAACCAAGUUUAAAUAGGAGAAUCGAAAGUAUAAAGGGAAGUUUUCAAAUCAAGCCAAGAAAUAGGGAGCUCAGAGUUAAUCAAAGAAAGAGUCAUGAGUCAUGUUUUAGCAUAUAAAUAGAGUGAGAUAGGAGUAACCAAACAUAGCAAGCAAAGAGGAAAUAUUGACCGAUGAAACCCCAGCACAUAGAGCUGAUGUAAGUUAGGCACAGAAACUCAGUACGAACAGAUUCGAGGCGAGAUAGUCACAGAAACUCAAACAAGCAACGAUCUAUCAUGCUAAUACACAGAAUCAAACGAAGAAAUAGAAAAUUGGGGCUUUCAACAUAGACGAGUUGAAGGGGUAGUAAAAUCAUAGAAUCGGUCAAAAAUAUGCAAGAAAUAGAAGUUUAAACAUAAAGAAUCAGUUUAAAUAAAGUAUUAGAAGAAGUUUCGAAAAUCCUAAUUUUAUAAAAAGAAGAAAACACUUGAAAUUAUAUGGUUCUUAUAAAGAGUUCCAAGGAUAGAGUAAAAUAUCAAAGAAACAAACUCAAAUCAUUUUAAAUUUGUACAGAUCUAGGAGAUGUAGGAAAAAUUAGGGUUUCAGAAGAAACCCAAAUAGAGAUGAAAGAACCUGUCUAGAAUCCCAAGGAUCGUAACAAAUACGCCGUGAUUUUGCUCGAAAAUAUACUGGAGUAGCUAAGAACAAAAAAGUGACGAAUCCUAGGUGCAAGUCGGUAUGGCCCAGGGCCCUUGAAGACCUUAGAGAUGGCAAGCAUGACGUUAGAGGAGUCACUGGAGGCUUAGGAGUUGAUGGGAGAUCACCGGAAAAGACCGGAGAUGAGAGGUCGGCAGUUAAAGGGGCUAGGCUUAGGUUGAGUUACUGAGAGAGGAGAGGAGAUGAGAGAAUACAGAGGCGGUG